Arachis ipaensis is the source of this 659-nucleotide non-coding RNA. Lineage: Eukaryota; Viridiplantae; Streptophyta; Magnoliopsida; Fabales; Fabaceae. The record is from RefSeq and is a predicted model, not a curated record.
UCUGAAUAAAUCUGUGUCACUCCUUUCACAUUAACAAAACGCCAUGAACUCAUUACCGAAUCACAUUGCUUCAGCAUGUAAUUUGAAUUUAAAUAAAAAAUUAUAUUUAAUGUGCAUACAUGACUGAAAUUUGUUUCUCUCAGAAACUACGUGCAUGAGGAAGAAAGAACUGAAGAAUCCAGCGUCGAUUCGAGUGUCCUUUUCUCCUCGUCGGAUUCAGAUUUCAGAGACUAGGGAACAGAUCAGUAGAUGCAGCAUUUGAGUUUGUUUAGUUGCCAGCUGCUGGCUCUCCUUUUUUUAUUGUUCAGAUUUAUUAAUUUAUAUUUUCUAGAACUUAGAUUUGUGUGCAUUGCACUCAAGAAAUUUUUGUGAGAAUUGUUGAAUUAGAUAUGUUACAUUUUUAAUUAGCCAAUAGUGAUUGCAAUGUCUUGGAGAUUCAUAAAUUAUAAAUUAUAAGUUAAUUGAAAGUUAGCUGGUAGAUAUGGAGAGGAUUUUGAUGUGAUUUAUGUAGAAUCUGCUGGUUCUGCUCUCAUGUCGACUUGUAUAGCAAGUCAAUUAUUGUUGUAAAGAUUUUCAUGAAACUUGAGUUACUGUAUAAAUAUAUGUGGUCUGCACUUACUGUUUAAUACUUUAAUCAAUGUUCAUUUGUUAUUGAUUUA